UUACACUCUUUGAUCUAGAACCUAAUGUUCUUCAAUAUUGGGAUACUUUUCUUGAAAUGCAUCACGGUCUUGUUUGUAUAGUCUGGGCUAGCCUCAGAAGACUCAUGAUCUGCUUCAGUUUCCUGACUGCUGGAUUAGAGGUGUCUAAAGAGACCAGAGGCAAGGGACCCCGUGGACCUGGAGUUACGGCUAAAAGCGACAAUGGGGAACUCUGGUUGCAGCCUGUGUUCUGCAACCCUGAGCCAUCUUUCCAGCGCCUCCCUGACUUUUCAACAAAUGAUAAUCGCAGAGCCAUGAGACAGCUGCUGCUCUACACAUCCCAGCCACCGUCACCCAGGCCAGCGACCGGAGGGGACUCACCUACAGACUCGAUGCGGA
This is a long non-coding RNA of Apodemus sylvaticus (European woodmouse), 378 nucleotides long. RefSeq lists it as uncharacterized. NCBI's taxonomy places the organism in Eukaryota, Metazoa, Chordata, Mammalia, Rodentia, Muridae. The transcript is spliced from 3 exons. The record is from RefSeq and is a predicted model, not a curated record.